ACUGUCUCUUAAUUAUAAAUAAAAUUUAAUUUUUUAAUUAAAAAGUUAAAAUAAAUUAAAAAGACGAGAAGACCCUAUAGAGUUUUAUAAUUUUAUUAAUUAAGAUUAUUUAAUUAAAAAUAAGAAUUAAGAUUGUUAAAAUUAUUUUGUUGGGGUGACAGAAAAAUAAAUAUAACUUUUUUUAUUUAAGAACAUAUAUAAGUGGGGGUUUGAUCCAAUAAUAUUGAUUAUAAGAAAAAAUUACCUUAGGGAUAACAGCGUAAUUUUUUUUUUUAGUUCAAAUAAAAAAGAGAGUUUGCGACCUCGAUGUUGGAUUAAGAUAAAAUUUAAAUGCAGAAG
RNAcentral lists this ribosomal RNA (339 nucleotides) under Mythimna conigera. RNAcentral describes it as "partial 16S large subunit ribosomal RNA". Lineage: Eukaryota; Metazoa; Arthropoda; Insecta; Lepidoptera; Noctuidae. The record is from RNAcentral.